GGUGAGAUGGCCGAGCGGUCUAAGGCGCCAGACUAAGGAGACCAACGCAUUUGAUGUGUAGAAAAUCUGGUCACAUUGUGGCGUGGGUUCGAAUCCCACUCUCAUCA
Molecule: transfer RNA, 107 nt
Filed under: Lentinula aciculospora
Lineage: Eukaryota; Fungi; Basidiomycota; Agaricomycetes; Agaricales; Omphalotaceae
Rfam family: tRNA
About the family: Transfer RNA (tRNA) molecules are approximately 80 nucleotides in length. Their secondary structure includes four short double-helical elements and three loops (D, anti-codon, and T loops).
Source: Rfam by way of RNAcentral